Molecule: long non-coding RNA, 1461 nt
Organism: Sapajus apella (tufted capuchin)
Lineage: Eukaryota; Metazoa; Chordata; Mammalia; Primates; Cebidae
Exons: 3
Source: RefSeq, a predicted model, not a curated record
UGAGCCACCGCGCCCGGCCUAAACUUUUUUUUCUUGAGUCUUAGUCUAUAUUUAGAAGAAUGUAUUAGUAAGGAAGAUACUAAUAAUUGAUUAGGACCUUGUUUAUCAACUCACUUUUAUGACUGUUUUAUUCUGCUUAUUACUAAUGUUUAUUUUAUUUGAAUGGAAACUAGAAUCAAACAGAAAUAAAUCUUAGAUUGGCAGGGAGAGAGAGGGCCAAUAUUUUUAGAUCCUGCUGCUUGUAGAGAAACCUUUCUUGUUAAUCAGUGGUUUUCUUUUAUAGUGGAAUGAUCAAUAAUAAUGCUGAUCAUGAAUUCGUACAUAGUUAAGCUUCACAUCUCAGAAGAACCAGUAACAAAAUCCUCUGUCAUCUACUCUACUUCAAGCUCUAUUUUAAAGUUUCUUCAUAUAGCAAGUUAUACUCAUUACCAUUAAUAAAUUAAAAAUUAUUUCACAAAAAAUUCUAGACUUUCAUGAAUUUCUUAUAAAAAGGACUAAAAUGAUAGCUUAGUGGGAGAUAAUUUUUUUAGUCUCAUAUUUAGCUUUUGGGAUAUUUCUGUAGGAGAGUAGUUCAUGUUUUGCUACUUUCUCUACUGCCAAAUAAUUUGAUAUUUCACAUAUGUGAAGUGUACUACAUUUUAUGGCAUUUAAGUCUAGUCUCAGCAGUCAGUCAUUUCAGGACUAUUUUAAUUGUUUGCUAAUGAUUCUAUUUUAUCAUCCUCCUCUUCUACAAUCUAUCACUCAUAGCAGUGCUAAAUUAAUUUUCCUCGAAGAUCACUUUAUGGGGUAGAUGUAUAUGAUCUUACAUGAAAACUUUUCCUGUUUCUUGCAAGCCUGUAGUUCACAUUCCUUGACCUGCUAUACAGUCAGAGAGACCUGGAUUAUAAUCCCAAGCCUACCACUUGACAAGUCUGUAGUUUAUUUAUUCAUUCAAUAAAUAUUUACUUAUUUACUCGACUUACUAUUUACCUAGCAUUUUUUGAGUAUUGAAGACACACAAGUCAUGAACAGGACAGAUGAGGUCCCAAGCUUACAUUCUAGUAGUAUUUACUAUCUUGGUAGCCCUGUUCUUCCCAUGAACACCACCAAGGAUUUAGCAGUCACCUCUUACCAUGCUUGUUUCCUCUCAUCAGCAGUACUGCCAGCUACUUGAAAGCAGAAAUUACAUAUUAGUUCUUGUGUCUCUAGUUCUGUGACAUCACAUACAGUGGGUUUUCAAUAGUUACUGUGAUCAUAAUGGGCUAGUCUUAGUUGUUUUUCACUGUUGGAAUUAUUUGAUUUUUAAAAUUUAUUACUGAUAUUUGAAUUAACUAUUAGAUAACAAUUAGAACCAUGUCAGAACAAUUAAAAAGAUAACUUGUCAAUUAGAAUAAAAUAUUUAAAAUGUAAAAAGAGUAUUAAAAUUUACCUGAUAAUUAUUUUCUAACUGUUUUUUUCUACUAGAAGUUUUUCAAUUUUUUU